RNAcentral lists this long non-coding RNA (279 nucleotides) under Gossypium barbadense (sea-island cotton). RNAcentral describes it as "long non-coding RNA (GBAR_LNC017385)". Lineage: Eukaryota; Viridiplantae; Streptophyta; Magnoliopsida; Malvales; Malvaceae. The record is from RNAcentral.
GUAAUAGCCCGAUUUUAGGCUUAGUCGGAACAGUGGUUUCGGGACCACAAAUCCGACGAAAAAAAAAUGUAAUGGCUUGAAUUUUCAGAGGUGUCAGAACGGUGAUUCGAGAUCACUAAAUUCGACAAAUGGGUAGAAAAUAUUAUUAAUUUAGUAAGUAUAAGUUAAAUAUGAAGUUAGGAAAAUUUUUGAAAUAGUGAAUAGUGCACUAGAAAUAAAUAUUAAAAUAAUUAGAAUCGAAAUGAGGUAUCAAGACCUCGGGGAUUUUAAACUGAGCCA